AGAGGGAAAGAACCCAGACCUACAGCUAAGGUCCCUAAAUUUGUAUUAAGUUGAACUAAGGAGGUUCAGUUGCUUAGACAGCCAGGAUGUUGGCUUGGAAGCAGCCAUUCAUUUAAAGAGUGCGUAACAGCUCACUGGUCGAGCGACAGGGCAUCGAUAAUAAUCGGGCAUCAAGUGUAGUACCGAAGCUUAGGAUGUAUUUAUACAUGGUAGGGGAGCAUUCUCUUUGCAGAGAAGGUGUGCUGUGAGGCAUGCUGGAGCGUAGAGAAGCGCAAAUGUAGGCAUAAGUAACGAUAAGGCAGGAGAGAAACCUGCCCACCGAAAGACUAAGGUUUCCGCGGCAAUGCUAAUCAGCCGCGGGUUAGUCGGGACCUAAGGCGAAGCCGGAGGGCGUAGUCGAUGGACAAUCAGUUAAUAUUCUGAUACUACCUUAUAUAGCGACGGGGUGACGGAGUAGUGAAAGGUCCGCCCGGAGACGGAAUACCGGGUUAAAGGGUGUAGAUAUAGGACUUGCAGGCAAAUCCGCAAGUUUUGUCGAACCUGAUAGUACUACAAUCCUACGGGAGCGUAGAUAGUGACCCUAAUCAGACUUCCAAGAAAAACCUCUAGUAAUGUAUAAGGUACCCGUACCGUAAACCGACACAGGUAGUUGAGGAGAGAAUCCUAAGGUGCUCGAGUGAUUCAUGGCUAAGGAACUAGGCAAAUUCGAUCCGUAACUUCGGGAGAAGGAUCCCCUGACUAUGUCAGGGCGCAGUGAAAAGGCCCAAGCGACUGUUUACCAAAAACACAUG
RNAcentral lists this ribosomal RNA (791 nucleotides) under Durinskia baltica. RNAcentral describes it as "partial Bacterial large subunit ribosomal RNA". It matches the Rfam family "Bacterial large subunit ribosomal RNA", at positions 1014 to 1819 of the family's 2925-position model. The record is from RNAcentral. Lineage: Eukaryota; Dinophyceae; Peridiniales; Kryptoperidiniaceae.